RNAcentral lists this ribosomal RNA (566 nucleotides) under [Hypocrea] mikurajimensis. Its description in RNAcentral is "LSU rRNA". It matches the Rfam family "Eukaryotic large subunit ribosomal RNA", at positions 62 to 648 of the family's 3401-position model. The record is from RNAcentral. Lineage: Eukaryota; Fungi; Ascomycota; Sordariomycetes; Hypocreales; Hypocreaceae.
AAACCAACAGGGAUUGCCCCAGUAACGGCGAGUGAAGCGGCAACAGCUCAAAUUUGAAAUCUGGCCCCCCGCGGGUCCGAGUUGUAAUUUGCAGAGGAUGCUUUUGGCGAGGCGCCGCCCGAGUUCCCUGGAACGGGACGCCGCAGAGGGUGAGAGCCCCGUCUGGCUGGCCGCCGAGCCUCUGUAAAGCUCCUUCGACGAGUCGAGUAGUUUGGGAAUGCUGCUCAAAAUGGGAGGUAUAUGUCUUCUAAAGCUAAAUAUUGGCCAGAGACCGAUAGCGCACAAGUAGAGUGAUCGAAAGAUGAAAAGCACCUUGAAAAGAGGGUUAAACAGUACGUGAAAUUGUUGAAAGGGAAGCGCUUGUGACCAGACUCGGGCGCGGCGGAUCAUCCGGGGUUCUCCCCGGUGCACUCCGCCGCGUCCGGGCCAGCAUCAGUUCGCCGCGGGGGAGAAAGGCCUCGGGAACGUGGCUCCCCCGGGAGUGUUAUAGCCCGUGGCACAAUACCCUGCGGCGGACUGAGGACCGCGCUAUACGCAAGGAUGCUGGCGUAAUGGUCACCAGCGAC